Molecule: non-coding RNA, 22 nt
Filed under: Arabidopsis thaliana (thale cress)
Lineage: Eukaryota; Viridiplantae; Streptophyta; Magnoliopsida; Brassicales; Brassicaceae
Source: RNAcentral
CAAUGACGCCACAUAACAGCCA